This is a non-coding RNA of Characodon lateralis, 76 nucleotides long. The record is from the annotation of a GenBank genome assembly. Lineage: Eukaryota; Metazoa; Chordata; Actinopteri; Cyprinodontiformes; Goodeidae.
GCGACAGUAGCUCAGUAGGAAGAGUAGUUGUCUUGCAAUCAGAAGGUUGUGGGUUUGAUUCCAGCCUCCUGUCAUA